UAGAAGAUACAUUUAGUUCUUCUAGCGGGAUAAGGCUAUACACACAUUUCUGACUAGCAAAUGUAAUAUUUUUUAAAUGAAAAUAAGCCUAGUUAAUGAAUGAAGUGGAAAAAGUAACUGGCUAACAAUGAGGCUGUUCUCGGCUGUUUAUUUAACACUGUAUUGUCUUCCCCUAGUUUGAAGACUGAAAUGAGAGAAAAGUAGGUCGAGUCUGUAGGGAGAGCAGGCCUUUCAGAGAGUAAGGUCGGUCGAGUCUGUGGGGAGAGCAGGCCUUUCAGAGAGUAAGGUCGGUCGAGUCUGUGGGGAGAGCAGGCCUUUCAGAGAGUAAGGUCGGUCGAGUCUGUGGGGAGAGCAGGCCUUUCAGAGAGUAAGGUCGGUCGAGUCUGUGGGGAGAGCAGGCCUUUCAGAGAGUAAGGUUGGUCGAGUCUAUGGGGAGAGCAGGCCUUUCAGAGAGUAAGGUCGGUCGAGUCUAUGGGGAGAGCAGGCCUUUCAGAGAGUAAGGUCGGUCAAGUCUAUGGGGAGAGCAGGCCUUUCAGAGAGUAAGGUCGGUCGAGUCUAUGGGGAGAGCAGGCCUUUCAGAGAGUAAGGUCGGUCGAGUCUGUGUGGAGAGCAGGCCAUUCAGAGAGUAAGGUUGGUCGAGUCUGUUUGGAGAGCAGGCCUUUCAGAGAGUAAGGUAGAUCGAGUCCAUGGGGAGAGCAGGCCUUUCAGAGAGAGAGUGAAGAAGAUGAAGAUGACGGGAGUAGAGUGAUGAAGGGUACCGAGUCACAGCAAACCAAUGCCUGGGAACACAAACACACACACACCUCACUCACCCAGGUUGUGCUCGGUGAACAACGGCAGAUUGACGCUCGAGUUGAAGCUCCCUGGAGUAGAAAAGAUGCAAUAACCACAUCCACUUUAAUACAAUAGGUUAGCAAGCUUGAAAUAAACAAAUAUCACACUUGUAUUCAUUUGAAAUGGAGAGCAGAGAAGAAAGAAAGGGUGGUGACUAAUACAGUAG
This 1000-nucleotide long non-coding RNA is filed under the name Salmo salar (Atlantic salmon). RNAcentral's name for it is "lncRNA (ENSSSAG00000095292.1)". The record is from RNAcentral. Lineage: Eukaryota; Metazoa; Chordata; Actinopteri; Salmoniformes; Salmonidae.